RNAcentral lists this ribosomal RNA (402 nucleotides) under uncultured bacterium. Its description in RNAcentral is "bacterial SSU rRNA". It matches the Rfam family "Bacterial small subunit ribosomal RNA", at positions 355 to 768 of the family's 1533-position model. The record is from RNAcentral.
UGGGGAAUCUUUGGACAAUGGGGGCGAACCCUCGAUCCAGCCAUGCCGCGUGAGUGAUGAAGGCCUUAGGGUCGUAAAGCUCUUUCGCCUGUGAAGAUAAUGACGGUAACCGUAGAAGAAGCCCCGGCUAACUUCGUGCCAGCAGCCGCGGUAAUACGAAGGGGGCGUAGCGUUGUUCGGAUUUACUGGGCGUAAAGCGCACGUAGGCGGACCAGAAAGUUGGGGGUGAAAUCCCGGGGGCUCAACCCCGGAACUGCCUCCAAAACUAUUGGUCUAGAGUUCGAGAGAGGUGAGUGGAAUUCCAAGUGUAGAGGUGAAAUUCGUAGAGAUGUGGAGGAACACCAGUGGCGAAGGCGGCAUUCCUGGACCAAUACUGACGCUGAGGUGCGAAAGCGUGGGGAG